GCCGGAGUGGUGGAAUUGGGAGACACGCUGUCUUGAGGGGGCAGUGGGUUUUUUACCCGUGCGGGUUCAAAUCCCGCCUCCGGCACCA
This 88-nucleotide transfer RNA is filed under the name Synergistota bacterium. RNAcentral's name for it is "Synergistetes bacterium (oil production facility metagenome) tRNA-Leu". It matches the Rfam family "tRNA". Rfam says of the family: Transfer RNA (tRNA) molecules are approximately 80 nucleotides in length. Their secondary structure includes four short double-helical elements and three loops (D, anti-codon, and T loops). The record is from RNAcentral. Lineage: Bacteria; Thermotogati; Synergistota.